UACGAAGGGGGCUAGCGUUGCUCGGAAUCACUGGGCGUAAAGCGCACGUAGGCGGAUUGUUAAGUCAGGGGUGAAAUCCUGGAGCUCAACUCCAGAACUGCCUUUGAUACUGGCGAUCUUGAGUCCGGGAGAGGUGAGCGGAACUGCGAGUGUAGAGGUGAAAUUCGUAGAUAUUCGCAAGAACACCAGUGGCGAAGGCGGCUCACUGGCCCGAUACUGACGCUGAGGCACGAAAGCGUGGGGAGCAAACAGG
RNAcentral lists this ribosomal RNA (253 nucleotides) under uncultured bacterium. Its description in RNAcentral is "partial 16S ribosomal RNA". It matches the Rfam family "Bacterial small subunit ribosomal RNA", at positions 524 to 776 of the family's 1533-position model. The record is from RNAcentral.